CCCUUAGAUGUUCUGGGCCGCACACGCGCUACACUGGCAGGUUCAUCGAGCUUCAUGCCCUGAUCUGAGAAGAACGGGAAAUCUUUGAACACCUGCCGUGCUUGGGCUAGAUGUUUGCAAUUAUUCAUCUUCAACGAGGAUUGCCUUGUAAGCGCACGUCAUCAGCGUGCAUUGAAUACGACCCUGUAUUCUGUACACACCGCCCGUCGCUCCUACCGAUUGAAGUUUUCGGUGAAUUUACUGGAGAUCCCUUUUGAAGGUGGUUCGCCACUGGAAGAAGUAUUCAAAAGUAAAUGAAUCGAAUGCUUUAGAGGAAGGAGAAGUCGUAACA
Molecule: ribosomal RNA, 331 nt
Filed under: uncultured eukaryote
Lineage: Eukaryota
Description: partial 18S ribosomal RNA
Rfam family: Eukaryotic small subunit ribosomal RNA
Source: RNAcentral